GAUGAAGAACGUAGUGAAAUGCGAUAAGUAAUGUGAAUUGCAGAAUUCAGUGAAUCAUCGAAUCUUUGAACGCACCUUGCGCCCUUUGGCCAUUCCGAAGGGCAUGCCUGUUUGAGUAUCAUGAACACCUCAACUCUUCAUGGUUUUCCGUGAUGAGCUUGGACUUUGGGGGUCUUGCUGGCCUAUGGUCAGCUCCUCUAAAAUAAAUCAGCUUGCCAGUGUUUGGUGGGUAUCACAGGUGUGAUAACUAUCUACGCUUGUGGUUUUCCACCAGGUAACCUUCAGCAGUGGAGGUUCGCUGGAGCUCACAGAUGUGUCUCUCCUCAGUGAGGACAGCUCUUUGAAUGUUUGAUCUCAAAUCAGGUAGGACUACCCGCUGAACUUAAGCAUAUAAUAAGCGGAGGA
This 405-nucleotide unclassified non-coding RNA is filed under the name soil metagenome. RNAcentral describes it as "partial contains 5.8S ribosomal RNA, internal transcribed spacer 2, and large subunit ribosomal RNA". The stretch from base 1 to 121 matches the Rfam family "5.8S ribosomal RNA", at positions 35 to 154 of the family's 154-position model. The record is from RNAcentral.